UACGUAGGGUGCAAGCGUUGUCCGGAAUUAUUGGGCGUAAAGAGCUCGUAGGCGGUUUGUCGCGUCUGCUGUGAAAACCCGAGGCUCAACCUCGGGCCUGCAGUGGGUACGGGCAGACUAGAGUGCGGUAGGGGAGAUUGGAAUUCCUGGUGUAGCGGUGGAAUGCGCAGAUAUCAGGAGGAACACCAAUGGGCGAAGGCAGAUCUCUGGGCCGUAACUGACGCUGAGGAGCGAAAGCAUGGGG
This 244-nucleotide ribosomal RNA is filed under the name uncultured bacterium. RNAcentral describes it as "partial 16S ribosomal RNA". It matches the Rfam family "Bacterial small subunit ribosomal RNA", at positions 524 to 766 of the family's 1533-position model. The record is from RNAcentral.